CCUACGGUGAGCAGCAGUCGAGAAUCAUUCACAAUGGGGGAAACCCUGAUGGUGCGACGCCGCGUGGGGGAAUGAAGGUCUUCGGAUUGUAAACCCCUGUCAUGUGGGAGCAAAUUAAAAAGAUAGUACCACAAGAGGAAGAGACGGCUAACUCUGUGCCAGCAGCCGCGGUAAUACAGAGGUCUCAAGCGUUGUUCGGAAUCACUGGGCGUAAAGCGUGCGUAGGCUGUUUCGUAAGUCGUGUGUGAAAGGCGCGGGCUCAACCCGCGGACGGCACAUGAUAAUGCGAGACUAGAGUAAUGGAGGGGGAACCGGAAUUCUCGGUGUAGCAGUGAAAUGCGUAGAUAUCGAGAGGAACACUCGUGGCGAAGGCGGGUUCCUGGACAUUAACUGACGCUGAGGCACGAAGGCCAGGGGAGCGAAAGGGAUUAGAUACCCUGGUAGUC
RNAcentral lists this ribosomal RNA (446 nucleotides) under uncultured bacterium. Its description in RNAcentral is "partial 16S ribosomal RNA". It matches the Rfam family "Bacterial small subunit ribosomal RNA", at positions 338 to 795 of the family's 1533-position model. The record is from RNAcentral.